Molecule: ribosomal RNA, 441 nt
Filed under: uncultured bacterium
Lineage: Bacteria
Description: partial 16S ribosomal RNA
Rfam family: Bacterial small subunit ribosomal RNA
Source: RNAcentral
CCUACGGGUGGCAGCAGUGGGGAAUAUUGCACAAUGGGGGGAACCCUGAUGCAGCAACGCCGCGUGAGUGAAGGAGGACUUCGGUACGUAAAGCCCUAUCAGCAGGGAAGAAAAUGACGGUACCUGACUAAGAAGCCACGGCUAACUACGUGCCAGCAGCCGCGGUAAUACGUAGGGGGCCAGCGUUGUUCGGAAUUACUGGGCGUAAAGGGUGCGUAGGCGGUUAUUUAAGUUAGAAGUGAAAUACCCAGGGCUUAACUUGGGUGCUGCGUCUAAACCUGUAAGACUAGAGUGCAGUAGAGGAGAGUGGAAUUCCUAGUGGAGCGGUGGAAUGCGUAGAUAUUAGGAAGAACACCAGAGGCGAAGGCGAUUAUCUGGACUGCAACUGACGCUGAGGCACGAAAGUGUGGGGAGCAAACAGGAUUAGAUACCCUAGUAGUC